Long non-coding RNA from Centropristis striata (black sea bass), 939 nucleotides. RefSeq lists it as uncharacterized. The record is from RefSeq and is a predicted model, not a curated record. The transcript is spliced from 3 exons. NCBI's taxonomy places the organism in Eukaryota, Metazoa, Chordata, Actinopteri, Perciformes, Serranidae.
UAAUAUGCAAGUUGACUUUUGUGCAUGUCUGCUUACGUGUCCAGGGCACUGUUAAAUUUUGAUCUUACCCAAGAACAAACAGGACGUACGAAAGUAAAGUUCUUAAAUUUAAGAUUAUAUUUGUGAGUACAGACAAUUCAUGCAUGAGGCCAAACAAUGGCCAACAAUGGCUAUGAUUAGUGCAAUGUUGAUUCUAAGUGAUUUAUUAUUAGAACUCAGCCAUUAGAACUGUAUAAGUGCUACGAACUGAAGAAUUAAUUUCCCAAAUGAUUAUAAUUACAUUUUGCAUGCAUGCAGAAUAUUUUAUUGUGAUGACAACUAGGCUACAUUGUGUCUUCAUGUGAACAUAGAGGUGUUUUUGUCACCUACACACUAAAAGAUGCGAGGGACAUAAAUUCCAACGAGCCACUGAGACCCUGCAGCUUUCUAUUCUCAGCUCGAGCUCAGGCCUCUAAAUAUGUGUUGACCACAAAAGCAAACCCGUCACUUUCAGGAUGCUGUGUGACGUAAAACUCUCAACCUGUAUGCAUUGUUGACACGUUAAGUAGCACAUAUAGACUUUAUCGACCUCAAAGUGUGGCUGUGCCACUUAGAUAUGUAGAAAACAAGUUUUUGUGUCUUAGUGUGAAAGCAGAAGCUCCAGUAGCAGCACUUCCUUUAUCUGUCAGCUCAGAGCUAUGUACCAGUCGGAGCUGUAGGUAGCCAGAGAGCAGAGCACACUGAACAGACUUCAGUACAAGAUGUUGGGAAAUGCUCGGAGCCGUUGCUUCUUCACCGGUUUGGCAAAAUGGAAAUGUUUUGUUCUGCUUCUACCGCUGACUGUGUGUUUCGACAGUGGAGGGUACCCAAGAGGUCACUUUGUCACGGUUUCUCCAGUGACUCUUGUGAAAACCAUCAGGAGAGAACCAGAUUUCACUCCAAUUUGCAAGAAUGCAACUC